CCUCUCAAGGAGCGUUGCAGCGGCCAGUCCCUCUCCAGGACCGGGGCCGUCAGGCUUGAGUGGGCUCGACCGGCCCCAACGACGCUCACCAGCC
This 94-nucleotide non-coding RNA is filed under the name Hydrogenophaga sp. Its description in RNAcentral is "SAH sequence". It matches the Rfam family "SAH (S-adenosyl-L-homocysteine) riboswitch aptamer". Lineage: Bacteria; Pseudomonadati; Pseudomonadota; Betaproteobacteria; Burkholderiales; Comamonadaceae. The record is from RNAcentral.